RNAcentral lists this ribosomal RNA (467 nucleotides) under uncultured bacterium. RNAcentral describes it as "bacterial SSU rRNA". It matches the Rfam family "Bacterial small subunit ribosomal RNA", at positions 329 to 794 of the family's 1533-position model. The record is from RNAcentral.
CGCCAGACUCCUACGGGAGGCAGCAGUGAGGAAUAUUGGUCAAUGGCCGAGAGGCUGAACCAGCCAAGUCGCGUGAGGGAAGACGGCCCUACGGGUUGUAAACCUCUUUUGUCGGGGAGCAAAGCGAACCACGUGUGGUUCAUUGAGAGUACCCGAAGAAAAAGCAUCGGCUAACUCCGUGCCAGCAGCCGCGGUAAUACGGAGGAUGCGAGCGUUAUCCGGAUUUAUUGGGUUUAAAGGGUGCGCAGGCGGAGGUGCAAGGCAGCGGUCAAAUUGCGGGGCCCAACCCCGUACUGCCGGUGAAACUGCAUCCCUUGAGUGCGCGAGAAGUAUGCGGAAUGCGUGGUGUAGCGGUGAAAUGCAUAGAUAUCACGCAGAACCCCGAUUGCGAAGGCAGCCUGCCGCAGCGUUACUGACGCUGAAGCUCGAAAGCGCGGGUAUCGAACAGGAUUAGAUACCCGCGUAGC